This 253-nucleotide ribosomal RNA is filed under the name uncultured bacterium. RNAcentral's name for it is "partial 16S ribosomal RNA". It matches the Rfam family "Bacterial small subunit ribosomal RNA", at positions 524 to 776 of the family's 1533-position model. The record is from RNAcentral.
GACAGAGGUGCCAAGCGUUAGGCGGAAUCACUGGGCUUAAAGCGUGUGUAGGCGGGCGAUCAAGUACCUUGUGAAAUCCCCCGGCUCAGCCGGGGAAUGGCUGGGCAUACUGGCGAUCUUGAGCAGUCUAGGGGCAGAUGGAACAAGUGGUGGAGCGGUGAAAUGCGUAGAUAUCACUUGGAACGCCAACGGUGAAGACAGUCUGCUGGGGACUUGCUGACGCUGAGACACGAAAGCCAGGGGAGCGAACGGG